Molecule: ribosomal RNA, 514 nt
Filed under: uncultured Entrophospora
Lineage: Eukaryota; Fungi; Glomeromycota; Glomeromycetes; Entrophosporales; Entrophosporaceae
Description: SSU rRNA
Rfam family: Eukaryotic small subunit ribosomal RNA
Source: RNAcentral
AGCAGCCGCGGUAAUUCCAGCUCCAAUAGCGUAUAUUAAAGUUGUUGCAGUUAAAAAGCUCGUAGUUGAAUUUCGGGAUUGACGUGAUGGUCGUGCCUUAAGGGGUAUGAACUGUCGCAGUUGAUUUCUCACCUUCUGGAGAAGCAUGAUGUCCUUAAUUGGGUGUCAUGUGGAACCAGGACCUUUACCUUGAAAAAUUAGAGUGUUUAAAGCAGGCAUUUUGCUCGAAUACAUUAGCAUGGAAUAAUAGAAUAGGACGGCAUGGUUCUAUUUUGUUGGUUUCUAGGAUCACCGUAAUGAUUAAUAGGGAUAGUUGGGGGCAUUAGUAUUCAAUUGUCAGAGGUGAAAUUCUUGGAUUUAUUGAAGACUAACUACUGCGAAAGCAUUUGCCAAGGAUGUUUUCAUUAAUCAAGAACGAAAGUUAGGGGAUCGAAGACGAUCAGAUACCGUCGUAGUCUUAACCAUAAACUAUGCCGACUAGGAAUCAGACUAUGUUAAUUUUUAAUGUACUUAC